This 70-nucleotide transfer RNA is filed under the name Anadara antiquata. Its description in RNAcentral is "tRNA-Asn". The record is from RNAcentral. Lineage: Eukaryota; Metazoa; Mollusca; Bivalvia; Arcoida; Arcidae.
AGGUCCGGGAGCUUGUAUUUAAGCAUCUGACUGUUGAUCAGAGUAAAGUUAGUAAUUAACUUCGGGUCUA